UGUUGGAUAGCUCAGUCGGUAGAGCAUGAGAUUCUUAAUCUCAGGGUUGUGGGUUCAAGCCCCACGUUGGGCAA
Molecule: non-coding RNA, 74 nt
Organism: Podarcis lilfordi (Lilford's wall lizard)
Lineage: Eukaryota; Metazoa; Chordata; Lepidosauria; Squamata; Lacertidae
Source: the annotation of a GenBank genome assembly